GUGGGGAAUAUUGCACAAUGGGCGAAAGCCUGAUGCAGCGACGCCGCGUGCGGGAUGAAGGCCUUCGGGUUGUAAACCGCUUUUAAUUGGGAGCAAGCGAGAGUGAGUGUACCUUUUGAAUAAGCACCGGCUAACUACGUGCCAACAGCCGCGGUAAUACGUAGGGUGCAAGCGUUAUCCGGAAUUAUUGGGCGUAAAGAGCUCGUAGGCGGUUUGUCACGCCUGGUGUGAAAGUCCAUCGCUUAACGGUGGAUCUGCGCCGGGUACGGGCAGGCUAGAGUGCAGUAGGGGAGAUUGGAAUUCCCGGUGUAACGGUGGAAUGUGUAGAUAUCGGGAAGAACACCAAUGGCGAAGGCAGAUCUCUGGGCUGUUACUGACGCUGAGGAGCGAAAGCAUGGGGAGCGAACAGGAUUAGAUACCCGUGGUAGUCCAUGCCGUAAAACGGUGGAUGCUGGAUGUGGGACCCUUCCACGGGUUCCGUGUCGGAGCUAACGCGUUAAGCAUCCCCGCCUGGG
This 515-nucleotide ribosomal RNA is filed under the name uncultured bacterium. RNAcentral's name for it is "partial 16S ribosomal RNA". It matches the Rfam family "Bacterial small subunit ribosomal RNA", at positions 354 to 877 of the family's 1533-position model. The record is from RNAcentral.